CAGUGAGUGCUGGGCGGCGGUGGUCGUGGCGGCGAGUCGCGACGGCGGUGGCAGGGCACGGCGAUGGUGAAGAGAGAAAGAGGCCAGGUCCGAUUUGGGGGAAAUUUUGAAGUGUUAGCGUGAAAAUUGAGCGGGAGCAGUGAAUAAGGAUUUUUGGCGUUGAAGAAAUGAAGUCAAAUCUUUUUCUUUCUUUUGUUUUUUCUUUUGUUUCACUUUUAUUAUUUAAUUUUUGGUAUUUAGGUUUCUAAUAAUGUAUUUAGAUUUUAUUAUUUUUUAAAAUCUAUAUCUAGGAAUAAAUUCAAAUUUUAGGAUAAACAAUUUAUUUGUUAUUUUUUAAUAUAAUAUAAUAUAAUAUAAUAUAAUAUUAUUUUAAAACAAUUAAUGAAAAAAUUAUACAUAACAGUUUUUAGAGACGCUCAUACAUAACGGUUCAAAAACCGUUGUAAAUGACUCUUAUACAU
Molecule: long non-coding RNA, 461 nt
Filed under: Salvia miltiorrhiza (redroot sage)
Lineage: Eukaryota; Viridiplantae; Streptophyta; Magnoliopsida; Lamiales; Lamiaceae
Description: long non-coding RNA (SMIL_LNC011532)
Source: RNAcentral